Molecule: transfer RNA, 71 nt
Filed under: Candidatus Nomurabacteria bacterium
Lineage: Bacteria; Candidatus Nomuraibacteriota
Also listed under: 1 other name
Description: tRNA-Met
Rfam family: tRNA
About the family: Transfer RNA (tRNA) molecules are approximately 80 nucleotides in length. Their secondary structure includes four short double-helical elements and three loops (D, anti-codon, and T loops).
Source: RNAcentral
AGCGGGAUAGAGAAGAGGCAUCUCGCAAGGCUCAUAACCUUGAGACCCACGUUCGAUUCGUGGUCCCGCAA